AUGAGCCCCAGCCUGUGUGGGGCCCCAUGUGUGGUCCUCCCAUGCCUCCCGAGGCAGCACUCAGGCUGUGGGCAGCUCUGGCAUCAGUGGAGCAUGAGCCUGGCUCUCCCGCAGCAGCAGGGUCUCCGUCCUGGCUUGUGUCAUGCCCAGCCUCCCCCAGGUGACUGUGCUCUGCUUCCCAGCUACCAAGCCCUGAUGGGCCAUGUGGCCCCACCCCUGCCCUGCGGUUGGCCCUUCUGUGUGGUGGGCAGGGAUGACAGUGGUGUCUGCCACCCUCUCAGUGCCGCCUCCUGGGCUCCUGAGAGCUGUGAGCCCCGUCUUGGCCCCUGCUUCACCCAGAGGCUGUGGACUACACAGCCCAGGCACGUCCCCAAGGGAACUCUAGGGACCUGGCUGGCCCCUUGUGGGCUCCUGAAUGACAGGAGCCUGGAUUCCCAGACUGGUGAGGAUGGACCCCACCCACCCCCAAGAGCACACUCCUUCCCCGAUGUGAGCCUCAGGCACCAGGGCCACGGCCAGGGGUCAGGGCCACUGCUGAGGGCUGUGGCGGAGCAGGCACUGGGCUGUGAGCCCUGUGGCCACAGCGGCUCGGCAAUCUGGCAGAGUCCUGACGAAAGUGCUGGGAUCUGUGCCCCUGUCCCUGACUGGAGAUGGAGACAGGCAGCCUGGCGAGGUGCUAAGUGCCCCAGAGCCCGCGUCCUGACUCUGCCACCCCAGGCUCUGCUGUGGGGUCGGAGUGAGCCUGACUUCCAGGGCCCAGCCUCAGAGUCUAGAGAAAUGAUUUUACUUGGGCUGAGGGGUGGGGGGACACAGGUGCCACAGAGCAGGUGUGGUCAGACCGGGUGUGGUCAGCAGGAGGUAUGGUCAGGUGGGUGUGGUCAGAAGGAGGUGUGGUCAGGUGGGUGUGGUCAGCAGGAGGUGUGGUCAGGUGGGGUGUGGUCAGCAGGAGGUGUGGUCAGGUGGGGUAUGGUCAGCAGGAGGUGUGGGCCUUCCCGCCCACAGCACUGGCUCUGUUACUGGAAAGAUCCUUCCUCCUUACUGUGGCUGAAGUGA
RNAcentral lists this long non-coding RNA (1053 nucleotides) under Callithrix jacchus (white-tufted-ear marmoset). Its description in RNAcentral is "lncRNA (ENSCJAG00000074836.1)". Lineage: Eukaryota; Metazoa; Chordata; Mammalia; Primates; Cebidae. The record is from RNAcentral.